GAAAUCAACUCACCCAAAAUCACAAAAUUCUUCAAAUUGAGGUAACAUUUUGACUUAUUAUGAUCAAAUUAAGGUUGUUGUUUCUUUCAUUUAAAAUUUAAUAGAAUAUGUUGAGAUUUCUUAAGAUGAGUUUUUAAACUGAAUCUUCAUUAAAAAUGGUGAAUCUUUAAUUAAUGAGUUAACCUGUUGUUUUUAUUGAUUUCUAACUUAUUUUGAACUAAUUAGAAGGUAUUUCAACUCAAUUUAAUGGGUAUUUUAAAUAUUCAUGAGAGCUUGAAUUUUUUAAAAAGUAAAAUUCGAUUAAUUAGAUGAAAUUAAUGGUUUAGAUCUGUAAUUAUAUGAUAAUUAGGAUGUUGAUAAACAUAUUUGAGGUUUAGAAACGAGGAUUUGACAAGUAAAUUCUUAUUUUGGCAAAACUAGUUAGACUUUGGUAUUGAAAAAAAGAGAUUGUAGAUAGGUGAUUUUGCUUUGGUUUGAAUUGGAUUAAGGUAGUAAUUAAUGAGUGUGUAAUGUGUUUAAUUUGUAUGCGAAGCACCGGAUCAAUCAGGAGCUUCUACGAGCAAGGCAAAGGGCAAAGAGAAGCUUACCUAGCCUUCAAUGUUCGACCGAAAGUAAUCUGGUGAGUGAUCGAAAUUGCUACUUCUAGGCACAAUUCGAUGCAUUAUUAAGGGGCUUAGGUUAGCCUAAACACCUAUCCUAAAUAUCUAGCGUAAGUAUCUCUAUUCUAUCUAUUAUUGAUAUACAAAUCAUGCUUAAGUGAUACAAUAUGCUAUGUGAGUUGACUUGAAAAUGCUAUGUGCCUUAUGAAUAAAUAUGUUAUGAACUUGCUGGUAUGUAUGCACAUUAUAUGAUAUUUUUAUACUAUGGCUCUUUGAGCAAUAAGCAAACACUUGUAAGUGCAUUAUCUGAGAUUUCAUUAUAUGAUAUGAACAUGAGUUAAAUGAUAUGUGAAAGUGUGCAUAAAACAGUAAGUGUAUGUGUUUAAAAUGGAUUUGCUGGCAUUGUAAUCUCUUGAAACCAUUGGAUAUAGUUGGCAUGACAUAGGGUUGUGAGUACUCACCAUUAUUUGUUUAUUUUUGGAUGAUGAGGCCCCAAGAUAUGUUGGAGGGAUAAAGGAAUGUUGAGCAUAGCUCCAUUCACCAAGAUAUGUUUGGUGUAUUUGGAGUGUGUUCACUAUGAGACUCUUUGAGUCUUUGGUUGUGUUUGGGGAUCUGUGUAUUUGAUGCUUUAUGUUUUAUACAUGUUUCGUGGACGCUAAAUGCCAAUAUACCAAUAAAAGAUGCUAGGGAUGAUGCUUGUGCUAUGCCAUGUAAUAAUGUGAUAGUAUGCUUACAAUUAACCUUGAUAUUCUGGCUUGUUUUUGGCAUCUUUGAACACUCGCUGAGCUUAGUUAAGCUCAUAAUCCUUUUAUGAACAUUUUUUGUAGAGAGGUAGCUUCUUAAGGAUGGGAAGUGUGCAAGCAAGUGAUCCAUCUAAGGCAUUCCAUUCGAGUAUGUGAAUUGAUUUUUCAACUAGCAUAAAAAUGGCAAUGUGAG
This 1535-nucleotide long non-coding RNA is filed under the name Gossypium barbadense (sea-island cotton). RNAcentral's name for it is "long non-coding RNA (GBAR_LNC006152)". Lineage: Eukaryota; Viridiplantae; Streptophyta; Magnoliopsida; Malvales; Malvaceae. The record is from RNAcentral.